Molecule: long non-coding RNA, 3944 nt
Organism: Heteronotia binoei (common prickly gecko)
Lineage: Eukaryota; Metazoa; Chordata; Lepidosauria; Squamata; Gekkonidae
Exons: 2
Source: RefSeq, a predicted model, not a curated record
ACUGGAAGCAAUCUCAGCUCGGCACACAGGGCCAGCUCUCGCAGCCUCCCUCCCCUUCUUCCCAGAGCACUACACUCCUCCCGACACGCUCUCAUUGGCUCAGCCCGCCCGUCCAACAAGACAAAGGCAACCCUCAUAGGAGGCCGGAACUUACAUCCGCCCUCCACGUCAGCCAAUUUCUGGAGUAGAUUUGCAAGGAGCCCGCUGCCGAGGUGUUUACAGCUUGCAAGGGCCGAUUGUUUUAAGCCCACAAACUCGGUUUAACCAAGUCUGUGCAAGAGAUUCGGCAAAGGAGCGCUCAGUUGGCGUAAUGGAAGCUGUUGUUCUGAAGUCACGUGAUUCAACUCUGUUCCCUUCGGCAGAGCAGCCAAUCCCACCCCUGGUAGAGCCCAGCAGAGAAUUCUGCUUUGGAACGGAGGCCAAGUUGUUUUGCGCAAAUCGGAAUGCGGCUACAAGGUUACAGGCGGCCUGACUGUGCAGCGGCCGGAGGAUUCUGCCCAAGGAACACAACGCGCGCUGUUGCCGAGCUCAUCUCUCGGCACUCGGGACCUCAUAAAUUACAAACUACUAUUAGACUCCUUUCAAGGAGAUCCCGGAUUUGAAUGCUACUGCCCCAGUGCUAAUGAGUCAACAUGAAUAGGAUCGUGUAUUGCAACUUGCUUAUAGGAAUAAAGUCAAGUGACUAGGAUAGCUGCAGUCCGUAAGUCAAACAGCUGGUCUCAGGGAAAGUGCGUGUUCUUAAAAACAGGUCCGUAAUUAGUAUUGACUCACAAGCUACAAGCGGGCCUGCACUGGAUCCACAAAUAACUAGUUCCGGUCUAUUCCCGAGUAUAUUUACUCGGCAGCAAGCCACGCUUUGUUCAGUGGAACGUUUGUAGAAGUGAGAGUGGUAAGGUAGGUGACAUGACAGUGCAAUCCUAAACACGGUUUUUCAAUCGGACUUUUCUCUAGGAAAGCAUUUGUAGGAUUCCCAUGUAAAACUUGUUAAAAUUACGCAAGAAUUAACUGAACUGUGUGGUAAACUUGGCUGGGAAAGAUGAGCUGUAGUAGGGGAUUGAAUGCUACCUACCAAUGUUGGAUGAGCUCCAUUUCUUAAGCUUCCCCUGUGCAGCUAGUGGUAUACUAACAAAAAGUAUCUGAUGAAUGUGAGCUUUCACACGAAAGCUUAUAUCCAGAAUUAAACUGUGUUGAUCUUAAGGGUGUCACUAGACUCAAACUUUGUUAAAUGGCAGACAGGAGCAGCCUGAAGAAGGGGGAAGACACAAAGCCUUCAGGUAGGAAGGCGAACAGCCUCCAAUUUCCUUAUCUGUGAGUGUAAAGUGGAAUCUAAUCUUUGUGAAUUGCUUUAACACUUCAGUACACUUUCCUGUUUGUCGGCUCUGGCAAGCAGCUCUCUCCUUGGGGCAGCCAGACAAGAGGCUUUUAUUAACCCCCUUCUUCCCAAACUGUUGAUCUGAUGCUUGGAGAAAAUAUUAUGCAAAAUUGAAGAGUGACAACUGGUACCCAUGGUUUGAGAUUAAGAAACCGGAAGAGUUUUACAGGGUUGGUUCUCAACAGCUUUCUCUUUUUUCAAGAUAUAUCGACUAAACACAAGUCACCUGGAACCAGUUUUCCUCAGAUAAUCAAAAGGAAAAAGGCUUUGCUCAAAGAAAAUUAUAUCAAAACAAGUAAUUCAAAUUGCCCUUUAAAAUUGGCCGGGUAAUUUAUGCUGGACUUUUUAAAACACUAAAAAAUGGCAGCUAGAUGAUUACACUUAGGACAGUACAGUUUUCAUAAACCAGCUGCAAAAGAGCCAAGCAAAUGCUACAGAAUUUCAAAAUAGCCCUAUCUGGUAUCCUGAUCUUAAUAGCAUUCAAGUCAGGGAGACUUGUUUUGCAAGUCAACCCUAAAGCUAUUUUUCUUUGAGGGUCAGUUCAUAAUAAGUCUUCUCUAUCCAUAGGGCUAUUGUAUUAACAGGCCUUGUACUGAGCCUUAAACCACAGCCUGGUCUAUACAAAUGCACAACAGGAAACUUCACCUGUUUCAGGCAGGAAUGAGUGAGGUAGUAACAGCCCUUUUGUGAGCAAAUGUCCCUGGGGACACACUGAUGUGGAUAGUCUUGGUAUUAAUAGGGCAGCAGUUGUGGUCAGGAGCAGUUCCUGUGAUCCUGCUAACCUGAAGAGUACCUGAGUUACGUAUAUCAAAGAUGAUUCCUGCAAAAAGUACUGAUUUGGCCCAUUUCCUACUAGAAUAAUUGCUGACACAGAGAGCCAUUCAUCACUUUGAUGGCAGCAUCAAGAAUAGAACUGGAUGUGUGAAUUAAGCAAUUCCAGUUAUUAACACCAUCCUAAACUCAGUGGGUUGGAGCCAACCAACUUUUCUGCUAGUGAAAAAGAAAGGGUUUAUUUAAAAGAAAAAAGAAAAGGAAGAAGGCUAUGCUGAGAAUCAUGGGACUUACAUAUACAAAAGUUUCUACAUGUAGUCAUUCUACCUUCAACAAGGGGUCAAGCUUGUAAACAUGCAAAUGUAACUGUUUAUAUAUGAAUAAGUAAUCAUAGUGUUCACAAACUAGAUCCAGUUAUCAAAUUUCCAGACAGGCAUAAUUAGAAAUUCUACCAAAUUCCAUAGAACUAAUAGUGCAGUCCUGAAAAUCUAAGCCCAUCAAAGUCAAUGGGCAUAGAAGGAUGUGACUGUUUAAGUAAAUUAGCUGAUAAUCUCAAGUACACUGACUAUGGGCUCAGGCCCAUAGACCACUUGUCUCCACCCAUCUAUUACAACUGGGCUUACAAUAAAGAGUUCACACCUUGUUCUAGAACUUCACCUGCCACAAACCAAUUACAGUAUUACUGGGGAGGGGUGUGUGAUUUUGUUAGUUAGCAGGUUUCUUUCCCCCAGCAGUUAUACCUUUCCUUAUUUUUUACUGAAUUUAAAUGAAGAGCUCAGAAUGAGAGAUGCAGCAGAAAUACCCCACCCCUUCAGAUUUAGCAGCCAAAAUAGAAGGGCACCCAGUCAUCUUGCUGAAUCUCAUACAUCCAUGUUACAAAUAAGGAAUUCUGUAGCAGAAAAAAUACUGAAAGAAUUUAUCUUUCCUCUUUAGAAAUGCCAUUUUCCAGUAGUUAGCCUGUUCCCAAGUAGUCCUAUGAAACCCACUACUGAGGGCGACAUUCACAGCAGGCAAGCUUGGAGUUCUCUCUGCUGUUCCAUGACAGCCCUCCCACUGCAGAGGGCAUUCUUGAGUUACUAUAAACAUUCAAGUCGUGAAAUGUUACAGCUCUCAUUAAAAGAAGCUACAUUUCAUACAAGGUGUUUUAUUGUUUGGUUGUAAAAUUGGGGGAUGGGGGCUUUUUUUCUGAUCAUUUCCUUUUGCAUCUUUUACAAUAAUAUAAAGAAUGCUGAAUUUGCUUUUAAAAAUUUUGUAUAACAAAGUUUGAGUCCAGUGGCACCUUUAAGAUCAACACAAUUUUAUCCAAGGUAUAAUGGUCUGUGUGCAACUUUGGAUCUUGUAACACAAACACACAUAUCACUGUCUCUGAUAGACUGCCAUAUCUACCGUCACUGAAGACUGGGAUCUUUUGAAAUGCUGACAUAUCAAAUGGAUUGAUGAGCUUGUAAAGGGGUCAGCAAAACCAGACAGCUAGUGCAGGCCAAGAAUCUAGUCCCUGCUCUGAAGUCAGAUCCUCUGUGUUUUGACAGAUUAGCCAAUAGCCCUACUACUCACUCUCAACAGUAUACAAGAAGCAACCCAGAGAUUUUCCACAGAAAUAGCUGUCCCAUUGACAGCAUGAUUUCUAACUCCUUAGACAGUGUAACCAACUUUAGACCUGAACUAUGUGUUUCUUUAAGGCUAAGAAAGCAAGCCAAGAGAGAUUUAAGCAAGGUUCAAGCUGAAAUCCACACCUUGACUUGUACACAUACUAAAGGCUUCAAUUGUAAUUUGAAUGGACAAUAAACAAUCAAACAGUCAA